Molecule: non-coding RNA, 1742 nt
Organism: Dicentrarchus labrax (European seabass)
Lineage: Eukaryota; Metazoa; Chordata; Actinopteri; Moronidae
Source: the annotation of a RefSeq genome assembly
CAGUUCACUGACUCUGUGUGUUUGCAUAUGUGUCCUUCCUCUCUGCUCCCAGCCUUUAAGAGGCCAGUGUUGAUCAGUGGCUGUCCAGGCCUUUCAGAGCCACUGACACGCCGGCAGCACAAUGAUGAUGUCACUGACUCUACUGCUGGCCACCCUGGGGCUCCUUGUUCAGGGUUCAUCAGGACAAAUCACCCUGACUCAGUCUCCUGGAUCUCAGUCUGUUGUUCCAGGACAGACUGUCUCUAUCAGAUGUAAAACCAGUUCAAGUGUUAGUAGCUACCUCAGCUGGUACUUUCAGAAACCUGGAGAAGUUCCUAAUCUCCUGAUUUAUUCAGCUACAACUCGUCAGUCUGGAGUUUCAAGUCGUUUCAGUGGAAGUGGAUCUGGUUCUGACUUCACUCUGACCAUCAGUGGAGUUCAGGCUGAAGAUUCAGGAGUUUACUACUGUCAGCAGGGUAACAGCUUCCCGUUCACACAGUGAUACAACGUCGUACAAAAACCUCCCUCAGCUGGAGAGGAACUGAUCUGACUCAACAGCUGCACUGACACUAAAACAACAGAGGUUUCACAAAAAAAACCCCAUCAUUAAUAAUGAUUGGCUUUGAACAUUUUGCCACUAAAUAUUCAGUAUUUAAAAAGUCAUAUUUUUAAUGCUUUCAUGAAAACAGGGUGUGAAACAGUCUGCUGCACUUCAGUGGUAACCUCUCUCGAAGUAUGAUUUCAAUUCAUUAAUAUGUGAAAUCCAUCACUAAAACUAUAAAUAUUAUAUAUUCAUUUUAUAUCUUAACAUUCAUAGUCAAACAUACUCAUUGUUGAAUUAAAUUACAAAUCACUACAAAUGUUAAUAACAUAUUUUAGUAAUUUUGUGUGUUUUGUAUUCUAGCAAACAUAAACAAAUGUGUUUUAUAACUAAAACCAAAAAAAAGAGAUAAAUGAAGUAUGUAAUCAAUUGUAUUGUCAAUCUAAUCAGUUAAUUUUGUCUUUUUAUCAACUCUUUUAUUUGUGUUUAUGGUUCUUCAGCAGAAGCAGUAUGUAAAUAGCUGAAGGGGUAGAACAACAGAUCACAUUUAUGAUGUUUGUCCUUAUGGUGACGAUAUUGUACUUUUUAUAUCAGAUUAAGAGUUUAUUUUUUAACUUAUUUGGUUUUAUUCAAAGAAUAAUUUGUGUCCUUUAGAUACACCUAAAGCAAUUACAAUAUUACAAAGCUUACUAUUAAGACUCUUUUUCAGAAGAGAUGAUUGAAUGAUUUAUUGUUGAAAUGUUCCUACAUUGUUCCAAAGGUUUAUUAUUGAAGACAAAUCUGUAAUGAUUAUAUCAGAAACAGUUGUACAGCGAUGAAGGUAUUCAUAUUGAUUAUGACAACAUAUUAUGGACUUAUACUACGACCAUCACUAGUUUGUACUAAUCAAACAAUAAUGAGGAGUUUUGUCGGAGUGUAUAAACUAUUUUGAUAUACAGUAUAUAUGGCUGUACAUUAUGUUAUCUUAAACAUUCUGGAGAAGUUGAAAAAAACUUUCUCAGCUCAGUUUUUCUCUGGAUUUAAUCCAGUCACUGACACCAUGAAGAGAAAAUCAUUAAGACACUUUGAUAAUAAUAAAGUUGAAAACAACUGAUUUGAUGAACACGUCUUUAUUAUCUGGAAACAGUGAAAUAAUAUUGAAACACUGCAGCAAGCUAGUAAAUAUUCUGACUGAAACAUGUCAAAUGAAAGAGAGAGAUAGUUACAGAGUGCACAGUGAGAG